Vicia villosa (hairy vetch) is the source of this 142-nucleotide small nucleolar RNA. RefSeq annotates it as small nucleolar RNA snoR135. Lineage: Eukaryota; Viridiplantae; Streptophyta; Magnoliopsida; Fabales; Fabaceae. The record is from RefSeq and is a predicted model, not a curated record. The transcript has a single exon.
UAAGCAGUGAUAGUGUGUAUCGGUGUUAUUCUGUGCUUAUAACAUCUUCCGAAAGUAUUCACUGCUAAGUUAAUUUGAUAAAAUGGACAAUUGUGUUUCACUUUUUAUGUUGAGAAUCACAACAAUCCGAUUCCCUACAUUU